This 469-nucleotide ribosomal RNA is filed under the name uncultured bacterium. RNAcentral's name for it is "partial 16S ribosomal RNA". It matches the Rfam family "Bacterial small subunit ribosomal RNA", at positions 28 to 507 of the family's 1533-position model. The record is from RNAcentral.
GAUGAACGCUGGCGGCGUGCUUAACACAUGCAAGUCGAACGGUGAACACGGAGCUUGCUCUGUGGGAUCAGUGGCGAACGGGUGAGUAACACGUGAGCAACCUGCCCCUGACUCUGGGAUAAGCGCUGGAAACGGCGUCUAAUACUGGAUAUGUGGCGUGACCGCAUGGUCUGCGUUUGGAAAGAUUUUUCGGUUGGGGAUGGGCUCGCGGCCUAUCAGCUUGUUGGUGAGGUAAUGGCUCACCAAGGCGUCGACGGGUAGCCGGCCUGAGAGGGUGACCGGCCACACUGGGACUGAGACACGGCCCAGACUCCUACGGGAGGCAGCAGUGGGGAAUAUUGCACAAUGGGCGCAAGCCUGAUGCAGCAACGCCGCGUGAGGGAUGACGGCCUUCGGGUUGUAAACCUCUUUUAGCAGGGAAGAAGCGAAAGUGACGGUACCUGCAGAAAAAGCGCCGGCUAACUACGUG